This is a non-coding RNA of Nicotiana tabacum (common tobacco), 6655 nucleotides long. Lineage: Eukaryota; Viridiplantae; Streptophyta; Magnoliopsida; Solanales; Solanaceae. The record is from RefSeq and is a predicted model, not a curated record.
ANCUGGCCCAAAAUUAUCUUAUGGUGUGAAUUUUUAGCCCAACACGUGUAGCCCAACUAUCAAUUCACCAUUUGAUUUCUCUUACUACAUCCGACACUGGUGAAAAGCUCCAUCUGCAAAGCCCUCAUCUUCAAACGGCUCUUCGCUUCAUAUCUCUGCUCUCUCUCACUCCUCCUCUCUGUCUAUUGAUAUUUCCUACUAGAUUUGUCACUGUGAGAAUUUCAGUACUCAAAACUCCGAAUUCACAUACAAGUAAAAGAUAAUUGCAAUGGUUGGAGUUUUUUCAGAAGAUGAUAUGGCUGAAAUUAUGCCAAACAUGAGAAUGGAACCUCUCAAUCUUGUAUAUGUAUAAUAUUCCUCUUUUAGUUAAAUUUAUUUCACGUAAGCUUUAUAGUGUUUGUGCUGAUUUUGUUUUGAAUAUUCAAAUUCUCUGUCCACAAAUAGCAACAUAGGUGCCUCUUUGAUUAGCAGUUGAUUUUAAAAAAACAAAGGGAAAUGUACUAUCAGACCUCCAAAAUCCAUGUCCAUUGGUAAGUUUUUAGUUGUUAGGUGACUAUAUUGAUUUGUGCUUCCAAGUGCAGCGACUAGUUGAUUUAAGUUUUGAUUUGGAUUUGUUUGUUUUGUCUUCUAUUGUGGAGAAAUUAUUACAGAUUCUAUUUUACUAAGUUAGUUGUUGCUAGCUCAACUUGUAUGUCUGUAUAAAACUAUGAAAUCCAGAGUACUCUUAAGCAAAGGUACAGUAUUGGAAUAGAGACGGGCCAAAAUAGAGUAGAACGAUAAAGAGGCUUUAUAUAGUGACCUCAACUUGUGUGGGGUUGAGGGAUAGUAAGGAUAGUAGUAGUUGUUAUAUAUUUGUUGCUAGAUUACCUUACCUGAUAAAAAAAAUAUAUAUAUUCUUUUGAAUGGUUACUGGUUUGUUAUAGAAUAGAGGGAGUUGUGAUGUCUCCAAAUAGCUGAGUUUGUUUGAAUUAGGCAAUCCAUAUAUUGGUUUGUUUCUUUUUCUAUUAUAAUUUUCUAUUGAUUGUGUUUUAGGAUUUGGUUAUAUAGUUUAAAUACCGCAAUUUUAUCACAACAAUGAAAGAUAUCAACUGGGUUAAGAUCCUUUCUUUUUGGUAUUAUGUGAGGCUUAUUGAAUUGACAUAUGUGGACGUUGUGGGUCGACGACAUUACUGUCUCAUCUGCUACACCUUUAGAGGCCCAUCAUACUCAUUGUUCCACCUCAGAAUUUGUUCCAGUUACUAAUAAGUCUCAUGUUUCCUUGCUUAAAACAUAGUCAUGCUAAUACGCUACCAAAACUAAAUAGGAAAAUUCAAUUUUUGCAGAGCCAAAUUCCAAGUUGUUCAUUUAUUUUAAUUUGAUUUUCUUUUAAUAUUUUUAUCCCAGUUAUACCAGUUGUUUCUUAGAGCCUUGUUUUAACUUUCAAGGUCAGUCAACCCUUUGAGCUUAAGAUUGUGUCAAUACAAGUUGAACGCUAAUGCUCCUUUAUUUUUGUUUCAUUCUUACAUGAGAAUGUGCACAGUUCAAGAAAGUAUGAUAGCUCUAACACGCGCAGGGAAAUGAAGAAAAUCAAAAUUGAUCAGGCUUUGACACAUAGGGAGAGAAAUUUCAGGCAGUUCUAUGAUGUAUAGGAACUAAGAUUUUGUUGGUGAUGAUCUCUUGUGCAUAGUUAAGGUUUAGAUUAAGUGACAAUGACAUUAAACACUAUGCUUUUGCACAACACUUCAAAUCACAUAUCUUCUCAAAUACUUAAUUCAAAAGAAAGAUAAAAUAUCUAUGCUUCAUUUCACUGUAGCUGAAAUUUAAAACUUUUCAAGCUCUAUGCAAUUUGAAUUAUGUGUUAAGCUCACAAAUACCUCUUAAUAGAUUUUAAUGUUGUCACAUUUUCGGUAAAUGUUAGAAUGUAGAUGCUGCUUCUGCUAUUCAUUUUGAUAAUUUCUGACGAAAUAAAAUUGUUCGCGGAUCUAUUAACAUGAAGCUUCAUCUAGCUGUUGGGCCCGAGCUAAGCCCGGGCAUAACCUCACUAGUUACUAAUAUUAAUAAGUGACAAAAGGAAGAGUUUUGUCAUCCUCACAGUAGCAGAUCUUAAUUUGUUAGAGUUCUACAUUUAUCCUUACAAUUUUCAAUUAAUUCCUUUUAUGUCCUAUUAAUCUUAUCUUUCAAAAUCUUGUCCUUGACUCAAGAAAAAUAUAAGUAUUUAAGAAACAAAAAGAAGAGAAGAAGCUGGAAAGUCUAAAAGCAUUAAUUGUGAUUGACAGAAAGCAAAAAAGCUACAACAUGAUCUCAAAACUUGCCCACAUACAAAGCCCAAAAAGUUCAAAGUUAAAAAGAUCUCAACUUUCGGAACGCAGACGCUUACAUGGAACAAAAGUACAAUUAUUUCUACAGUAUUUAAAAGUAGAUCACUGCCCAACUCUUGAUUAAGUGACAAAUGUCUCCUUCCAUCACUGCAUAGACUGAUUUUACACACGGUGUCACGGUCAAGGACAGAUUUUGAAAAAUAAGAUUAACAUGGAAGCUAAAAAGUUGGUGGUGUACUCUUCAAAAACCCCCCAGAAUAUCCUCUGUUUCUCUCUGCUUUGAGGCUUCCAGAUUUUCUCAUCUCAACCUGGUAAGUUUGUCUCCUCUAUUACGUUUCUAUGUCUUUAUGAACUUUUUGUGUUACGUAAACCCGCUAAAAGCAUAAUAUGGAAGAACAAGAUGAGAAAUUUUUCAAAUUCUUAUUGCAUGUCUCUCUUCGUGUGUAUUUGAAACUUGAAAGUGAAGAAAAUAACAAGAAACUCAUGAACAAUCGUAUUGAAUUUACUAUUAUACUUGAUUCAAUAUAUUCAUGUGUUGAGCUUAAGUUGGAGUCUAUUGUUCUUUGUGAUUAGAAGAUCAUUGAAAAGAUUUUAAGUGAAACAUAUUAAGAGGUAUUGUUAAUUAGUUCUAUCUAGAAGACUGGCAGAUAAUGCAACAGAAGCCCUCUCCAAAUUAGUCUGCAAGAGAGUGAGGGAUCUGGGAGCCUUUCAACAUAGCAUUGAGGUUGUUUUAGUCUCUGUGGUGAGCUAGGCUGCUGAUCGGCACGUGAUAUCAAAUGACCUAUUCUCUCUGCCUCUCUUUGGUAUUUUACUUCCUGCCCUAUGAGGUUUCAUAGAAGAUGCACAUAAAAUUAGAGUUGAGCUAAUGUUUGCUGGUCACAGUAGCUCUUACGUGAUGAGUGGCUGGCCCAGAAUAGAAAUAAGCACACUACAUGACAAUGAAUAAGCUGGUUGGUAUCAAGAUUUUUCGUGGAUCUCAGAACUGAAUUUCAAAAGCGACUCAGUUUCUUUUUACAAGAUUUAAGAUCAAUUUUCUGCAAGUUUUUGCUUAUUACAUUGCAGAAUCAUACUUAGAUAAGUAAUUUCUUGUCCAAUUUGACUUUACCCCUCUGUUUGAAGACCUGCAUUGUUAAUCCAUUACAUAAUUAAUUUUCUACCUUUUCUGUUGGAAUGACAAAGAGACCAUGCAUGACAAUAACUUCUAAUACCUUUAUUGCUGUUAAAUACCUUCAUUCUCCACCAUAAGCUAGAGGAAAAAUAUAUGUUUGGACUAGGUGCAUCUGUUCUUUAGAAAUCCUAGAUCCGUCACUGUCUAUUACCUGUCGUCCAACAAAAUUUGUUUUACAAGGAUCUCUGUGUUAAAAGUGAGUAGUAUUUUAUGUAGUUUGAGAUAAUUCUAAAUUAUGUGGGUAAUUUAUAAAAUUGUGUGAUUCCGUUUAGUUCUUAUAUAAAAUCAAUCUCUUUAGAUUGCAAACUGAUUCCAUGUAAGCACAUCACCUUUACUUUCAAUUUUCUCAUUCUCUAAACACUACAUAUCAGAAAGACUCAACACACCAAAUUUUGUCAUGGCUAGAUAUUAAUUCCUUUUCCCCUGAUGCUUCAUAGUAAAGCAUUUGGUGGAACAAAGAAGUUGUAUAUGCAAUUAUGAAUUUGCUGUAAAGAUACCUAUUAUUCUUUAAAGUGAUACAAAAGAUUAUAAAUUAAUUGAGGUUGUAGGAAGUACUAUCGGAUAGGUUGUUGCACUAAAGUUUCAUUCUAUCGCUUCUUUGUAUAUACCAUAAAAUUUGAAAAUAGCUAUAAUAAGAGACAUAAUCUACUACAACAAAUAGAACUAUAGUCUAUAAAGGUACUGUGUUGGAAGUUAUUGAGUUGUUAGAUUUAUCUUUGUCACUAGAAACUCUAAGCUGAUAUAUUACUCCAAAAUCAUUAGAUAAUCAAAUAGUUUUUAAUACUUUUGUGGAACAUGAUGUUGUUGAUUUUUAAAUACAUAUAAUUUUAAAAGUUGUGCAUUCCAUAGCCCAUUUAAGUGCCUCUGCUUCCCAUAUUUCCCAUAUAUCUCCUUGGAAGAAGAUAACGUUCACCACACUCUGCACUAGAGCAGACAAAAGUGUUGCACUAGGCAGUUCUGUCCUCAUAACUGUAGUGUCCUCGUUCUCGCAUGCAUAUUUGAACCUUUGAUGAUUAAAGAAUAAAAAUUCAUGAUGUUUUGUUUGCUUCAUCCAAUUCACUUUACGUUUUGACUGUUCAACGUGCUUACCAUGUCCAUGGCCAUCUUCUUCAGAGGGGACUGAACUUUCCUUCAAUUCCCUCUUUCUACAAACUUUGUUCCCUUGUUUUCUCUAUCUUUUAAGAUGUUUCUUUACUACAGGUGGAGACUUAAACCUUUUGAUCUUUUGUACAUAUUAGCUCUUCAGAUGGUUAUGGACCAAGGAUUCAACUCGGAGAAUAUAAAGGACUACACGUGCUUUGGUUUGAACUUUAACUUUGUCCCUGUGUACACGUGUUUUAGACAAACAUUACAACUUGGGAGUACUGUAAGUCUAGAACUAAAGAUCAAACUGCUUGGUGAAAAAAAUACAAUAGUAGAUCAUCCAAACUACCUUUUUGGUUUGAAUUGACUUGUUCUCUCUGGUUUGCUCUAUUUCUUCUAUGAUUACAAUAGAAAAAACAAUACCUGAUAUUUCUUAAGGAGUAGACAGAUAGUAUCAUCAGGCUUACAGUGGCACUUCUAAUAUGUGCAUUAGAAUUUAUUGCUUUAUGUGAUUUUUCUUAUUCAGAUUGUGCCAGUAAAAUUAGUUGUGCAAAGUAUAGUACCUGCAUAGAAUUAUAGAAAGUUCCUUACCUAUGCAUGUUAUUUGUUUGAGCAACAUUAAAAUACUCUUCAUAGUCAAUCAUUAUGCUUGUACUAUCUUCAGUUGUCAAAAGUUAAUGUUAUACCCUUUUCAAGAGAAUUUUUUUUUAAAACAGAAAAGAAAAGGUUGAUUCAAAUUCAAGUUAGCCAUAGGAUUGUAACUUUAGAUACACCUGUGCCAUUUCUGAAACCCCUUGUAACCUCCCUGUGCCAUUUCUGAAACCCCUUGUAACCUCCUUUCUACGCAAAAUAUUUCAUUCUACUUGAAUUGAUUCAGAUUAUCCUUGAUUGCCAGCAUCAUUUGUUGUCUCAGUUGUACCAUAUCUUCUCUUAUACCAUAUUUUGUUCUGCUAGUAAAGGGAAGGAAGUUGCUCGUGUCCAAUGGACAGCCAUAUCCGGCAAAGUGUGAUGGUGUACGCUUGAGAAAAGAGUGGUAGUUGUAUUACCAUCAUUCUCCCAAUAAAUCCACUCACACUAUUGUUUUGUCUUUUUUUAUUUUCUAUUUUAUGAGUUACAUCAUUAUUUUGACCUUUGAGAUUUCAUUGCCUUGUGGUAGUCUUUUAAACACCUAUUAGUCCUUUCAUUCAUUCUUAUAGAAGCAUAUUUUUGGUAUCACACCAAGCAUAUACUGAUGACUCAACUUCUACAAUAUUACAACCCCUUGGUGAAACUGCAUAACAUACAUGUAUAAUAUCUAAUUCACCAUAAUAUACGUAAUGCUAUAAUAAUUUAAUCUAACAAAUGAUGGGCUUGGGUAAGCCCGGGCCAUCUUUAACUAGUAUAUAUAGAGAGAGAGCGCUAAGUAUCUACUCGGAUCAGGGGCCUGUUUGGUUGAAAUUUUUUGUUAUUAGCAUAUGUAAUAGACUUGAAGAAUGAAUCCGCCUGGGACAACGACGAAGAGGGUAGGAGACGCUAUUGGUAAAGGUCACCACCUGACGGUAACUACAAAUCUUUAAUGAAAGAAGUACUAUCGUCUAUCGAAUUCUGAAGAAAGGAAAGGCAAAAACAUGUAGAGAAGACGAAGCAAAUAUCAGCUCUAUGUCCUCACUUUCUUGCUGAGUUGAUUAUUAGCAAAUGCCAGAUCACAGCAGCGAGGGUGGCUAAAUUCUACAACCAUAGUUGGUCAGUGAUCAUGGCGCUAUCUGCUACUUCAAAGAACAUAUGUGGCAUAGAUGCGCUACAGCCUACAGGUGGGAAUCAAUGGUGUCAUAAGAAAACCUAGUCUCCUGCAAUGAGGAAAAGGAACUUCAGAGUCGUACAAAUAGCUGGCGAAGGCUUUUGAGGUAAUAUUAUUGGAAAAACAAACUUGGAGGGCGCAAAACUAUCACGAGCUUGCAAUCGAACUGCUGCCUUCAUUGGACUUGUAUAGAGAGAACAUCACAGCUUUGGUUGAUGAACCAGCUUGCUGCUACCCUUGUAGUUUGUGGCAGUUUUAGUUAUGCAAUAUAGGUUAGUUUGCCGUUCAAUUCUUGGCUCAUGAUAUAGUGAAAUCUAUCAUAUAUUGGUA